RNAcentral lists this ribosomal RNA (671 nucleotides) under Fusarium solani. Its description in RNAcentral is "eukaryotic LSU rRNA". The stretch from base 133 to 286 matches the Rfam family "5.8S ribosomal RNA". Lineage: Eukaryota; Fungi; Ascomycota; Sordariomycetes; Hypocreales; Nectriaceae. The record is from RNAcentral.
UCACCCUGUGACAUACCUAUAACGUUGCCUCGGCGGGAACAGACGGCCCCGUAACACGGGCCGCCCCCGCCAGAGGACCCCCUAACUCUGUUUCUAUAAUGUUUCUUCUGAGUAAACAAGCAAAUAAAUUAAAACUUUCAACAACGGAUCUCUUGGCUCUGGCAUCGAUGAAGAACGCAGCGAAAUGCGAUAAGUAAUGUGAAUUGCAGAAUUCAGUGAAUCAUCGAAUCUUUGAACGCACAUUGCGCCCGCCAGUAUUCUGGCGGGCAUGCCUGUUCGAGCGUCAUUACAACCCUCAGGCCCCCGGGCCUGGCGUUGGGGAUCGGCGGAAGCCCCCUGCGGGCACAACGCCGUCCCCCAAAUACAGUGGCGGUCCCGCCGCAGCUUCCAUUGCGUAGUAGCUAACACCUCGCAACUGGAGAGCGGCGCGGCCACGCCGUAAAACACCCAACUUCUGAAUGUUGACCUCGAAUCAGGUAGGAAUACCCGCUGAACUUAAGCAUAUCAAGGCGGGGGAGAGAGAAAUUACCGAGGUUAAACCAACUCACCAACCUUGUGAACAUACCUAUAAGUUUGCCUCGGCGGGAAACAGACGGCCCUAAACAGGGGCCCCCGCCGAGGACCCUAACUCUUUUCUAUAAGUUUCUCUGAGUAAACAAGCAAUAAAUUAA